UGCCGUGUGGCCUAAUGGAUAAGGCGUCGGUCUCCUAAACCGAAGGCUGCAGGUUCGAGUUCUGCCUCGGUCG
Molecule: transfer RNA, 73 nt
Filed under: Caenorhabditis brenneri
Lineage: Eukaryota; Metazoa; Nematoda; Chromadorea; Rhabditida; Rhabditidae
Description: tRNA-Arg (CCT) (tRNA-Arg-CCT-3-1)
Rfam family: tRNA
About the family: Transfer RNA (tRNA) molecules are approximately 80 nucleotides in length.
Source: Rfam by way of RNAcentral